Molecule: ribosomal RNA, 367 nt
Filed under: uncultured fungus
Lineage: Eukaryota; Fungi
Description: eukaryotic LSU rRNA
Rfam family: Eukaryotic large subunit ribosomal RNA
Source: RNAcentral
AUAUCAAUAAGCGGAGGAAAAGAAACUAACAAGGAUUCCCCUAGUAACUGCGAGUGAAGCGGGAAAAGCUCAAAUUUAAAAUCUGGUGGUUCUUGCAGCCAUCCGAAUUGUAAUUUAGAGAAGUGUUAUCCGCGCUGGACCGUGUAUAAGUCUCCUGGAAUGGAGCGUCAUAGAGGGUGAGAAUCCCGUCUUUGACACGGACUACCAGGGCUUUGUGAUGCGCUCUCGAAGAGUCGAGUUGUUUGGGAAUGCAGCUCAAAAUGGGUGGUAAAUUCCAUCUAAAGCUAAAUAUUGGCGAGAGACCGAUAGCGAACAAGUACCGUGAGGGAAAGAUGAAAAGAACUUUGGAAAGAGAGUUAAACAGUAC